This 125-nucleotide small RNA is filed under the name Marmota monax (woodchuck). The record is from RNAcentral. Lineage: Eukaryota; Metazoa; Chordata; Mammalia; Rodentia; Sciuridae.
GCCAGGCGAGGUGCUGCACGCCUGUAAUCCCAGUGGCUUGGGAGGCUGAGACAGGAGGAUUCCAAGUUCAAAGCCAGCCUCAGCAACCUCAAGGGGCUAAGCAACUCAGUGAGACCCUGUCUCUA